GUAUCUGGCUCAGGAUGAACGCUAGCGACAGGCUUAACACAUGCAAGUCGAGGGGCAGCACAGGUAGCAAUACCGGGUGGCGACCGGCGCACGGGUGAGUAACGCGUAUGCAACUUACCUAUCAGAGGGGGAUAACCCGGCGAAAGUCGGACUAAUACCGCAUGAAGCAGGGGUCCCGCAUGGGGAUAUUUGCUAAAGNUUCAUCGCUGAUAGAUAGGCAUGCGUUCCAUUAGG
RNAcentral lists this ribosomal RNA (234 nucleotides) under uncultured bacterium. Its description in RNAcentral is "partial 16S ribosomal RNA". It matches the Rfam family "Bacterial small subunit ribosomal RNA", at positions 15 to 245 of the family's 1533-position model. The record is from RNAcentral.